This 1557-nucleotide long non-coding RNA is filed under the name Homo sapiens (human). Its description in RNAcentral is "non-protein coding lnc-SPNS3-1:5". Lineage: Eukaryota; Metazoa; Chordata; Mammalia; Primates; Hominidae. The record is from RNAcentral.
GGGGAUUACAGGCACGUGCCACUACACCCAGCUAAUUUUUGUACUCUUAGUAGAGAUGGGGUUUCACUAUGUUGGUCAGGCUGGUCUCGAAAUCCUGACCUUGUGAUCCACCCACCUCGUCCUCCCAAAGUGCCAGGAUUGCAUGCGUGAGCCACCGCACCUGGCCAAGCUCUUUCUUAAAGAUGAUCAAGGCAUCCCCCAUUUAAGCCUCCUCAGGGGCUCCCCUGAUCUAUAAGGACUGAGUGCCAGCUCCUCUGCUGCGUGCCACACGAGGCCCUUCUGUGGCCUCUCUCCUCUUAGGCCUGUACCUUUCCCAUCUCCUCCCAUGUGCACCUCCUGUCCAGCCUCCCUCUCACUGCGUUAUGUCUGCAGUGCCUUCACACAAGCUGUUUCUUUUGCCUGGAAUGACGCUUCUUCCUCCGUUGAAUUAAUCCACCCCGUAUUGCUUCAAUAUUCAGCUCAAUCAGGCCCCUCUUGGGAGCCUUCAUUAACUGUUGGGCCAGCAGUGAGCUAUAGACGCACUUUCCCUGCUCCAUGGCUGUGCUCAUAUCACAGUGGGCUCUUACCAUGAACUUCCUAUCAACCUCUUGCACUGGACCUCAGACACUCUGAGGACAGAGCCCCAGUGUGAUUCAGCUCCAUACCCCUAUAUCCACAUGACUCAGCUCCGUACCCCUAUAUCCACGACUCAGCUCCAUAUCCCUAUAUCCACAACUCAGCUCCGUACCCCUAUAUUCACAUGACUCAGCUCCGUACCCCUAUAUCCACAUGACUCAGCUAUGUACCCCUAUAUCCACAUGACUGAGCUCUGUACCCCUAUAAUCCACGACUGUCCGUACCCCUAUAUCCACAUGACUCAGCGCCGUACCCCUAUAUCCACAUGACUCAGCGCCGUACCCCUAUAUCCACAUGACUCAGCUCUGUACCCCUAUAAUCCACAUGACUCAGCGCCGUACCCCUAUAUCCACGACUCAGCUCCGUACCCCUAUAUCCACGACCCAGCUCCGUACCCCUAUAAUCCACAUGACUCAGCUCCGUACCCCUGUAUCCACAUGACUCAGCGCCGUACCCCUGUAUCCACGACUCGGCUCCAUACCCCGAUAUCCACGACUCGGCUCUGUGCCCCUAUAUCCACAACUCAGCGCUGUACCCCUACAUUCACGCAACUCAGCUCCGUACCCCUAUAAUCCACUUUACUCAGUGCCGUACCCCUAUAAUCCACAUUACUCAGCGCUGUACCCCUAUAUCUACAUGACUCAGAGCCUUACCCCAUAUCCAUGUGACUCAGCUCCUCACCCCUAUAUCCACGUGACUCAGCACCAUGCCCCUAUAAUCCACUUUACUCAGCGCUGUACCCCUAUAUCCACCGCACCUAGCGUGUGGGAAGUUCGUGCAGAGUUGUUUCUUUUUUUGAGACAGGGUCUUACUCUGUUGCCCAGGCUGGAGUGCAGUGGCGUGAUCAUAGCUCACUGCAGCCUUGACCUCCCGGGCUCAAAAAGAUUCUGCCACUUCAGCCUCCCGAGUAGCUGGGAUGAUGGGCACGUACCAGCAUGCCCG